GCACUGCUGAGGAGUUCCACAAUAGGGCGAAACGGCCGUCCAGUGC
Molecule: non-coding RNA, 46 nt
Filed under: Schistosoma bovis
Lineage: Eukaryota; Metazoa; Platyhelminthes; Trematoda; Strigeidida; Schistosomatidae
Also listed under: 1 other name
Source: RNAcentral